Molecule: long non-coding RNA, 249 nt
Organism: Bombina bombina (fire-bellied toad)
Lineage: Eukaryota; Metazoa; Chordata; Amphibia; Anura; Bombinatoridae
Exons: 3
Source: RefSeq, a predicted model, not a curated record
CUUACCCUGUUCUUGGGAACAUUUUACCUUUUAACAGCGUUAACAGCUGACACAUCAGCACAUCCUCAUAACUCAUUCUGCACUUUUGUGGUUGUUAUUUAGGAGAUCUAUUCAUACAUUUAAAGUUGAAAAAACCCUGAGGAAGGAGGCCUAUUGCCACAAGGAAGCUCUCAUAUGGCAGCAUUUCUUAGUGAUACCAAAGAGAAAGGACCUCCAGUGCAGGCUCAUACCCUACGGGAGUUCGAAGAG